Homarus americanus (American lobster) is the source of this 961-nucleotide long non-coding RNA. RefSeq lists it as uncharacterized. The record is from RefSeq and is a predicted model, not a curated record. Lineage: Eukaryota; Metazoa; Arthropoda; Malacostraca; Decapoda; Nephropidae. The transcript has 2 exons.
AAACUGAAUAUGACCCAAUCUAUCUCUGCCACUCUUUCUAAGAUGUUUGACAAUGAUCUUGAUGCCCACUUCUGUCACUGACUCUAUGACUGCAACAUAAUGUUUAGAUAACUUUUUGGUUGUACAGUAUAAUGAACCAAUAAAAAAUUUCCUGGGGCUAGUUUUGGUGUUGGUUCAACAUGAGUAGACUCGGGCUGUGACAUGAAUGACUGCGACAUCUGUGGGAGAGAUGAUGUACUUUCUCUAUCACUGCUAUUACUGGAAUCAUUUUAUGUGUCAGUAUCUGACAACCCAUACUCAAGAGGCUCAAGAUAACAUUGUUUAAAUGUUGUUUGAUCUGUAGUGUUGUGAUAUAGUGAAACUUUGUUAUGGCCAAGAAGUUUAACUCAUCUGCUGCCUUACAGGAUGAUGGCGGAAUGGUGAGCGUGCCGAGUGGGAUGUGGGACCGCUUUACUUGUAACUUCUGUCGCAAGACGUUCAACCACAAGAACAACUUCAGGAAGCACAUUCGGACACAUACUGGGGAGAAGCCGUACUCAUGCCCAUAUUGUUCUUAUUGUUCUGCUCGCUCAGAUCUCUUACGUGUCCAUUUACUAAAGAGACAUCCAUAUGCAACCUUUUAGUAAUAUAAAUGAAUACUGGACAUGAAUACUGCUGCAGUGCUGUGUGGAAUUGUUGAUUGGGUACUGCAUGAUGAUUUAAACAAAUUUCAUGAUUUGUGUAGAUGGAAGUAUAUUAUUAUUACCAAAUUUUAGUUGUGAAAUAAACUUAAUUUAUAUCUGCUAAUGAUGACUCUGUUAUAAUUUUCAUUUUUUUAAGAGACAACCGAAUUUUCUGCAAAAAAAUCAGCCAAUUUCAAUUUCAUGUAGUUGGAGCUUACCUGGGAUAGUUAUUAUGUAUCAGUUAUUACAGCUUGAAGGUAAACAGACAGGUUCUACAUAAAUAUAUGUAUAAACCUGAA